This 21-nucleotide microRNA is filed under the name Ciona intestinalis (vase tunicate). RNAcentral's name for it is "cin-miR-5609-3p". Lineage: Eukaryota; Metazoa; Chordata; Ascidiacea; Phlebobranchia; Cionidae. The record is from miRBase by way of RNAcentral.
GUUACAGGUCGGUGCGCUAAC